RNAcentral lists this ribosomal RNA (775 nucleotides) under uncultured Neocallimastigales. RNAcentral describes it as "partial large subunit ribosomal RNA". It matches the Rfam family "Eukaryotic large subunit ribosomal RNA", at positions 23 to 616 of the family's 3401-position model. Lineage: Eukaryota; Fungi; Neocallimastigomycota; Neocallimastigomycetes; Neocallimastigales. The record is from RNAcentral.
AGAGAGAGACAUGCGCGCAUAUCAAUAAGCGGAGGAAAAGAAACUAACAAGGAUUCCCCUAGUAACGGCGAGUGAAGCGGGAAGAGCUCAAAUUUGAAAUCUUAAAGGGUUUCCCUUUACGAAUUGUAGUUUAAAGAAGUGUUUUCUGUUGAGGUUUUGGUAAAAGUUCUUUGGAAUAGGACAUCAUAGAGGGUGAGAAUCCCGUAUUUGACCUUUACUUUCAACUUUGUGAUACACUUUCAAAGAGUCGGAUUGUUUGGGAAUGCAGUCCAAAAUGGGUGGUAAAUUUCAUCUAAAGCUAAAUAUUGGCGAGAGACCGAUAGCGAACAAGUACCGUGAGGGAAAGAUGAAAAGAACUUUGAAAAGAGAGUUAAACAGUACGUGAAAUUGUCAAAAGGGAAGCGUUUGACACCAGUGUUGUUUUUCUGAAAAUCAAUUAAAGAACUGUUUAUGCUAAGCUGUUUAGACUUUAUCAGCUAACUGUUUAGUUUUGAGCUUUUCUUUAAUGCACUUUUCAGUUAACAAGUCAACAUCAAUUUCUUUUGCUGUAAAAAAGCUUGAGGAAGGUGGCUUGAGAUUCGUCUUAAGUGUUUAUAGCCUCUUGCCUAUGCAGUCGGAGAGAUUGAGGUCUGCAGCGUAGAUCCUUCGGGGCUAAAUGCAUUUGUGCUAAGUUAUAGCAUUUUAUAGACAACUUGUUGACUAUGAUUUGUCUUGUAGCUUACUCGCUUAUGUUAUUUAUACCUACGCUUAGGAUGUUGAGCGCAUGUCUCUCUCU